Molecule: long non-coding RNA, 1098 nt
Filed under: Laticauda laticaudata (blue-ringed sea krait)
Lineage: Eukaryota; Metazoa; Chordata; Lepidosauria; Squamata; Elapidae
Description: lncRNA (ENSLLTG00000003153.1)
Source: RNAcentral
UCCUGCGCCGCCGCCGCCAACACCCCUCAGCCCAACUGCCGCGGGCUUAGCUGGCCGAAGGAAGCGCGGGGAGCGAGCGAGCGGGCGGGCGGGCGGGCGGGGGAGAGUUUCCCGAAGAAGAGCCGGAGGAAAGUGGCGGCGCGCCGUCUCCGGCGGCUUAUCCGGGGCCGGCGGGACCCGCGUCCGAGCGCCCCGAAAGAACGGCCGAGGGGGAGGGGGGCAGUCAGCCGGCCGGGACCCAGGAGAAGGAGCGUUAGCCCCGCGCGGCAGAGGGAGGCGGCGGCGGCGGCGGCGGCGGCGAGGAAAUGGAUGCUCUCGGCGAGUUCCUGCUGGCGGGGAAAGUUUUGCUUGGGGUCCUCCCGCAGCCAGGCUUAAAGCCGCCUCGGUGUCCGGGCUCUUCUGAUUGGACGCUUCCAGCGCCUAUCGGAGCGCGCGCCCACAGUCCAAGCGGCGGCAGCGGGAGGCAGCGGGCGGGCGGGCGCGGAGGGCGGCCGCCCCGAGGCGGUCUGGCCUCAGCCUGACGCUGAAGGGAGCUUUUGCGGCGGAGCUUGGCUCGCUCUCGGACGCUCUGAGGCUCGGACGCUCUGCUUGGAGCCGAGCGACGGACUGCCGGGAUGUAGGAAAACGAGAAGCUUCGAGGUCCCCCCACCCCACCCCACCCCACCCCCUCGUCUCUCCCAUCUGCCCUCAGAAAGGAGACGCGUCAGGAGCUUGCAAGAGGAGCCGCUUCUCAAGUGUCAGCCAAGGGGAACGAAAUUCUGUGCAAAUCAAUUAUUGCAGGCUUUAGAAGGAGGAGAAGGAGAAGGAGAAGGAGAAGGAGAAGGAGAAGAAGGAGAAGAAGAAGAAGAAGAAGAAGAAGAAGAAGAAGAAGAAGAAGAAGAAGAAGAAGAAGAAGAAGAAGAAGAAGAAGAACCACCCACCGUCAGCCAAGCCAGCUCACCAACCUACCCCCCUCUUCCCCCUCCUUUCCUCGGCCCAUCACUUUGCUGGCUACCCAUCCAUCUAACCCUUCAGCCAACCAACUGGCCUCCUUCUCCUUUUCAAGAUUGGCUCGUUCCCGUCAAGCCAGUAGACCCAGGACUUCCUGAUCACCUGUAA